Molecule: ribosomal RNA, 253 nt
Filed under: uncultured bacterium
Lineage: Bacteria
Description: partial 16S ribosomal RNA
Rfam family: Bacterial small subunit ribosomal RNA
Source: RNAcentral
UACGUAGGCAGCGAGCGUUGUUCGGAGUUACUGGGCGUAAAGGGUGUGUAGGCGGUUGUUUAAGUUUGGUGUGAAAUCUCCCGGCUCAACUGGGAGGGUGCGCCGAAGACUGGAAGGCUUGAGUAUGGGAGAGGUAAGCGGAAUUCCUGGUGUAGCGGUGAAAUGCGUAGAUAUCAGGAGGAACACCUGCGGUGUAGACGGCUUACUGGACCAUAACUGACGCUGAGGCACGAAAGCGUGGGUAGCAAACAGG